GUCGUGAUAGCUCAGUUGGGAGAGCAUUAGACUGAAGAUCGUAAGGUCUCUGGUUCGAUCCCGGGUCGUGGCA
Molecule: non-coding RNA, 73 nt
Organism: Symsagittifera roscoffensis
Lineage: Eukaryota; Metazoa; Xenacoelomorpha; Acoela; Convolutidae
Source: the annotation of a RefSeq genome assembly